CAAAGAUUAAGGACUUCUAUUGGGAGGAGUUUAAGGGUAUGUUAUCUGAAGCAAGAUCCUCCGAGGAGAAGCGAAAAAAUAUCCCAAAAUCUAUUUGGGAGAGCUGGAAGCCUCACCAUGAUACUGAGGAUUUUAAGGCUAAAUCUGCACAAUGUUAAAAAAAUUGACUAAGUGAGAAAUGUGGUGAAGGAUCUGGUCCCUCACGCCAUACUGGAGGCUCCCAGACUCACCGAGAGCAUGCAAGACAACUGGCGAUUGUACUUGGACGGCCACCUCAUCCGCAUGAACUUUUGAAGAAGACACAUACCAAAGGAAACAAUGAGUUUGUGGAUCUGAAGUCUAAGAGCACAUAUGAUGCUGUAAUGUCUAAGAUCACGUCUGCAUCUCAGCUUGUAGAUGAAUCUGGCGAGUCUCCGACAAUUGAUUUUUCGAAGGCUUACAUGGAUGAAGUGGGUGGGGUUAAGAAGGCAUGUAUAUAUGGUCUUGGUUCUCAAGCGGCUUUCUAUGAGAACGUUGGUUCGUCAUCUGCUUCAACUACUCAAUCUCAAGAUUGUGAUUUUGAUACUCGAGUGAAGGAGUACGUUCAAGAAAUGAAGGAGGAGAUGAAGGAUGAGAUGAGAGAAGAAUUGUGUGAAGAAAUGAAACACGAAAUGCAGCUAGAAAUGCAAGAGCAAGUUGAUAAGAUUCUCCAAGAACGUUUGCCUAUCCUCAUAGCUGGCCUACCUAAACCACCAUGUGGUACACCACCCCUUGAUACACCAAAUUAGCUUAGACAUGACUCAUCAUCACAUAACAAUAUGGGUCAUUUAAAAUUUCCAAACUAUCUUAGGCAGAAUUUUCUUUGUUUGUUUCCAUAUUUAGAUUUAUUUUGAACUCUUUUUGUUAGGAUUUGCA
Long non-coding RNA from Solanum tuberosum (potato), 894 nucleotides. RefSeq lists it as uncharacterized. Lineage: Eukaryota; Viridiplantae; Streptophyta; Magnoliopsida; Solanales; Solanaceae. The transcript is spliced from 4 exons. The record is from RefSeq and is a predicted model, not a curated record.